GACGAACGCUGGCGGCGUGCCUAACACAUGCAAGUCGUACGGGACCGGGGGCAACUCCGGUUCAGUGGCAGACGGGUGCGUAACACGUGAGGAACUUGUCCGGUGGCGGGGAUAGCCGGCCCAACGGCCGGGUAAUACCGCAUACGCUCGUUCGGGGGCAUCCCUGGGCGAGGAAAGCAGCCGCAAGGUUGCGCCGACGGAGGGCCUCGCGACCUAUCAGCUUGUUGGCGGGGUAACGGCCCACCAAGGCGACGACGGGUAGCUGGUCUGAGAGGAUGAUCAGCCACAUUGGGACUGAGACACGGCCCAGACUCCUACGGGAGGCAGCAGUGGGGAAUAUUGCGCAAUGGCCGCAAGGCUGACGCAGCGACGCCGCGUGUGGGUA
RNAcentral lists this ribosomal RNA (385 nucleotides) under uncultured bacterium. RNAcentral describes it as "bacterial SSU rRNA". It matches the Rfam family "Bacterial small subunit ribosomal RNA", at positions 28 to 409 of the family's 1533-position model. The record is from RNAcentral.